Molecule: long non-coding RNA, 613 nt
Organism: Acanthopagrus latus (yellowfin seabream)
Lineage: Eukaryota; Metazoa; Chordata; Actinopteri; Spariformes; Sparidae
Exons: 2
Source: RefSeq, a predicted model, not a curated record
AGCAACACCAUCCUCUUAGUGUGGUCUUAAAAAAAGCUGACAUGAGACAACAAGACAAUUAUGACUCAAGGCCCUGGGUAAAUAGAAAGUCGAACUGAGGAAGAAGAGGUGGGAGGGCUGGUCCAAGCAUUCUGUGUACACAGAGUGUGCAUUGUACUGGGCUCUGGGAGUGAACUCAAUCGCUCGGCUACCAUGAGCAGCUGGAACGGACCGAGACUUUCUCUCCUACAAGCUUGAGGCCGUGCAGGGACCAUUUACAAUAGAGCUGUGUUCACCAUGUUUGGAAGACUGUAUAAAGUAUGGAUGUAACCUCUGUGACAUCCCCACUGAAAAGCCAUUGUGGAGCGCAGUGUGUUUACUCCGGCCUUCACCAUCUUGGCAGUGCUGACUCCCAGCUGAUCCAAAAAUGAGCAUUGCAAGCUGAGGUAGACUGGUUGCUAACAGCUAGCUAGACUGCUAGCAGCUAGCUGCCACUCAAGGUGGCACAUGCAUAACUUUAAGCCUUAAUACAAUUCAAAUAAGUGAGUUAUAUAGCUAGAAUUACGACCUUGUGGCAGUAUGCCCUGGAGGCCAGUCAAGUUACUGUGCUGAGCUAUGGCACUAAUAGGCAGAA